This 253-nucleotide ribosomal RNA is filed under the name uncultured bacterium. RNAcentral describes it as "partial 16S ribosomal RNA". It matches the Rfam family "Bacterial small subunit ribosomal RNA", at positions 524 to 776 of the family's 1533-position model. The record is from RNAcentral.
UACGUAGGUGGCUAGCGUUGUCCGGAUUUACUGGGCGUAAAGCGCGCGCAGGCGGUCGUUCAAGUCGGGUGUGAAAGCCCCCGGCUCAACUGGGGAGGGUCACUCGAUACUGAUCGACUCGAAGGCAGGAGAGGGAAGUGGAAUUCCCGGUGUAGUGGUGAAAUGCGUAGAUAUCGGGAGGAACACCAGGGGCGAAGGCGACUUUCUGGCUCGAUACUGACGCUGAGGUGCGAAAGCGUGGGGAGCAAACAGG